This 233-nucleotide non-coding RNA is filed under the name Paenibacillus sp. The record is from RNAcentral. Lineage: Bacteria; Bacillati; Bacillota; Bacilli; Caryophanales; Paenibacillaceae.
CCAAAUAUAGUGUGUACAGGUGUCUUUCGCUCCGCAUGGGCGUUUGACUUAAUAGGGAAGCAUGGUGCAAAUCCAUCACGGUCCCGCCACUGUAAAGGGCAGAAAGAGAGCGUUCCUUACGCUGUCUGAAUCGAGUCCGGUUAAAUGCCACUGAGGAUGAAGUCCAACAGGUCCUUGGGAAGGCGCCGGCAUCGGGCCCAAGUCAGGAGACCUGCCUGUAUGCGUUUUUGACA